This is a long non-coding RNA of Oncorhynchus tshawytscha (Chinook salmon), 285 nucleotides long. The record is from Ensembl. NCBI's taxonomy places the organism in Eukaryota, Metazoa, Chordata, Actinopteri, Salmoniformes, Salmonidae.
GGUUAUGGGUUUAGGUGUAGGGUUUAGGGUUAUGGGUUUAGGUGUAGGGUUUAGGGUUAUGGUUUAGGUGUAGGGUUUAGGGUUAUGGGUUUAGGUGUAGGGUUUAGGGUUAUGGGUUUAGGUGUAGGGUUUAGGGUUAUGGUUUAGGUGUAGGGUUUAGGGUUAUGGUUAAGGUGUAAGGUUUAGGGUUAUGGUUAAGGUUAGGGUUUAGGGUUGUGGGUUUAGGUGUAGGGUUUAGGGUUGUGGGUUUAGGUGUAGGGUUUAGGGUUAUGGUUUAGGUGUAGG